UACGUAUGGUGCAAGCGUUAUCCGGAUUUACUGGGUGUAAAGGGUGCGUAGGUGGCAAGGCAAGUCUGAAGUGAAAAUCCGGGGCUCAACCCCGGAACUGCUUUGGAAACUGUUUAGCUAGAGUACAGGAGAGGUAAGUGGAAUUCCUAGUGUAGCGGUGAAAUGCGUAGAUAUUAGGAGGAACACCAGUGGCGAAGGCGACUUACUGGACUGGUACUGACACUGAGGCACGAAAGCGUGGGGAGCAAACAGG
This 253-nucleotide ribosomal RNA is filed under the name Coprococcus eutactus. RNAcentral's name for it is "partial 16S ribosomal RNA". It matches the Rfam family "Bacterial small subunit ribosomal RNA", at positions 524 to 776 of the family's 1533-position model. Lineage: Bacteria; Bacillati; Bacillota; Clostridia; Lachnospirales; Lachnospiraceae. The record is from RNAcentral.